RNAcentral lists this long non-coding RNA (359 nucleotides) under Mytilus galloprovincialis (Mediterranean mussel). Lineage: Eukaryota; Metazoa; Mollusca; Bivalvia; Mytilida; Mytilidae. The record is from RNAcentral.
CAAAUUUAGCAUAUAAUAUUACAUAUUGUAGCAUAUCUAUAAGUAUCUAUAACAAGCUAUGACAUUCAUUUACUAAACAUAUGAAAAAAGCAAAACUAAAACAACAGAUUAAGCAUUCAUAUACAUGUAGCAUAUAACUAUAUAUAACAAGCUAAGGCAUGCGUUUAUUCGACAAAAAGAGAAAGCAUAACUAAGACGGCAAAGUAAGCAAAUUGAACUAUUCCGCUAAAAGUUAAGCAAAGUCAAAAAGCUAAAUAAAAAGAAGAAUUCAAAAUGAACACAAAAACUUUUUUUUUUCUUUUCUAUACUUACUUCAAAUGUUCAUAUCAAAGCCUGCAAAAAGAGAUCUAACAUUACAG